RNAcentral lists this transfer RNA (23 nucleotides) under Nicrophorus argutor. Its description in RNAcentral is "tRNA-Leu". The record is from RNAcentral. Lineage: Eukaryota; Metazoa; Arthropoda; Insecta; Coleoptera; Silphidae. RNAcentral also lists the same sequence under 1 other name.
GUUUACACUUUUUUUAGAAAAAA